RNAcentral lists this ribosomal RNA (916 nucleotides) under uncultured archaeon. Its description in RNAcentral is "SSU rRNA". It matches the Rfam family "Archaeal small subunit ribosomal RNA", at positions 1 to 923 of the family's 1478-position model. The record is from RNAcentral.
UUUCCGGUUGAUCCCGCCGGACCUGACUGCUAUCGGAUUGAUACUAAGCCAUGCGAGUCUUUGCAGUAAUGCAAGGCAUACGGCUCAGUAACACGUAGUCAACUUACCCUAUGGACGAGGAUAAUCUCGGGAAACUGAGCAUAAUACUCGAUAGAUCAUAAUGCCUGGAAUGGUUUAUGGUUGAAAUGAUUCGUCGCCAUAGGAUGGGACUGCGGCCUAUCAGCUUGUUGGUGAGGUAAUGGCCCACCAAGGCGAUUACAGGUACGGGCUCUGAGAGGAGAAGCCCGGAGAUGGGUACUGAGACAAGGACCCAGGCCCUAUGGGGCGCAGCAGGCGAGAAAACUUUGCAAUGUGCGAAAGCACGACAAGGUUAAUCCGAGUGAUUUCUGCUAAAGAAAUCUUUUGCAAGUCAUAAAACCACUAGUGAAUAAGGGGUGGGCAAGUUCUGGUGUCAGCCGCCGCGGUAAAACCAGCACCUCAAGUGGUCAGGAGGAUUAUUGGGCCUAAAGCAUCCGUAGCCGGCUCUGUAAGUUUUCGGUUAAAUCCAUGUGCUCAACGCAUGGGCUGCCGAAAAUACUGCAUAGCUAGGGAGUGGGAGAGGUAGACGGUACUCGGUAGGAAGGGGUAAAAUCCUUUGAUCUAUCGAUGACCACCUGUGGCGAAGGCGGUCUACCAGAACACGUUCGACGGUGAGGGAUGAAAGCUGGGGGAGCAAACCGGAUUAGAUACCCGGGUAGUCCCAGCUGUAAACGAUGCAGACUCGAUGAUACAUUGGCAUAUAGCCAGUGCAGUGUCGCAGGGAAGCCGUUAAGUCUGCCGCCUGGGAAGUACGUACGCAAGUAUGAAACUUAAAGGAAUUGGCGGGGGAGCACCACAAGGGGUGAAGCCUGCGGUUCAAUUGGAGUCAACGCCGGGA